GAGCGCAGACGGUUACUUAAGCAGGAUGUGAAAUCCCCGGGCUCAACCUGGGAACUGCGUUCUGAGCUGGGUGACUAGAGUGUGUCAGAGGGAGGUAGAAUUCCACGUGUAGCAGUGAAAUGCGUAGAGAUGUGGAGGAAUACCGAUGGCGAAGGCAGCCUCCUGGGAUAACACUGACGUUCAUGCUCGAAAGCGUGGGUAGCAAACAGGAUUAGAUACCCUGGUAGUCCACGCCCUAAACGAUGUCAAUUAGCUGUUGGGCAACUUGAUUGCUUAGUAGCGUAGCUAACGCGUGAAAUUGACCGCCUGGGGAGUACGGUCGCAAGAUUAAAACUCAAAGGAAUUGACGGGGACCCGCACAAGCGGUGGAUGAUGUGGAUUAAUUCGAUGCAACGCGAAGAACCUUACCUGGUCUUGACAUGUACGGAAUCCUCCAGAGACGGAGGAGUGCCUUCGGGAACCGUAACACAGGUGCUGCAUGGCUGUCGUCAGCUCGUGUCGUGAG
RNAcentral lists this ribosomal RNA (505 nucleotides) under uncultured bacterium. RNAcentral's name for it is "bacterial SSU rRNA". It matches the Rfam family "Bacterial small subunit ribosomal RNA", at positions 567 to 1071 of the family's 1533-position model. The record is from RNAcentral.